ACUUUUUACAUCGAAAAAAGUCAGGAUCGAAAUUUUUGAGCGAGCCAUAGUUUGUGGUGAUAAAAUUAAUAAUUUCAAGUAGAUUAAUUGUUGUAAUUGAUAUAACUAGUUAAUAUCAGUAAAAUAAAGUUGUGAGUGAUUGAUAUAAUAUACAAUUUAGGAACCAGAAGUACCGUAGAAUCAAAUAAAAUUUCGCAACCUCAAAAAACUGUUCUGCUCACAGUAAACACAGUCGGUAGUCUGGCGCUCCGUUUACAACGGGAUUUUUGAACGGAACUUGGCGCCAGAUUCUACCGAAUCUGUGGAUAUAUGUAUAGUUAUAUUAGUAAUAGACGAAAUAAUUGUAACAGUGUGGUGGUGGUACUGUAGGGAGGGACCGUGGGCGCGACCGCCACGGUACUUACUGCUGUAACACAUUACAGAACUUUACUGAUACAAUUAAUAGUGUUACAACUCAUAAUGCGACGCGACGCAACGAACGGAAUCUUUUUGUACACCUCACUGAACAUGAUUACAUUGCGCGAGGGUUGUACUCGUGUUUUAAAAAUUGAGGGCCCGUGUCAUUUGUUUAUAAAGUUUCAAAUUGAGUAAUAAUUUGAAAUCACUAACUUUUAUUAAAUGGUUUUCGUAACACAAAGCCCCAAUUCGAAAGUUACGCUCUAUGUAUCUAACUUAUGUUAUUUAACCCAAAGAAGAUCGUUCCAACAAAGUUCAAUACUAUUCAUAAUUUGGGACAAAUAUAAAAGGAAUGUCAUUCGUGUCGGACGGCAUGUGAUGCGGCGACGUCGUGUCGUGUCGUGUCGUGUCGUGUCAUGCGUGCCGUGCGUGACGUGCGUGUCGGGCAGCAUCUAGUACAAGGCGAGUGCUAAGCUAGUGACGGUGCGACGAGCGGCACUACACGAUCGGACGCGCUGCGUGUAAACAAGAGCUUCAUGUUGUUUAUAAUAUUGUGUCCGAUAUGUUAAGAAUCUAUAUAUUAAUACGUGAAGCAAAAACUUUGUACCCUUUUUACGAAAACUGUGCCGACGGAGGAGUAUAAAAUUUCCCACACUUAUAGAAAAUACAGAGAAGUAGUGCAGAAUAUUAAUAUUUUUUAAAUUAUGCACAUGGCUAUGGAAUGAGCUCCCCUCCACGGUGUUUCCCGAGCGCUAUGACAUGUCCUUCUUCAAACGAGGCUUAUGGAGAGUAUUAAGCGGUAGGCAGCGGCUUGGCUCUGCCCCUGGCAUUGCUGAAGUCCAUGGGCGACGGUAACCACUCACCAUCAGGUGGGCCGUAUGCCCGUCUGCCUACAAAGGCAAAAAAAUACAUCAAAUCAAUACCAUGUAUUUGACACACACACGCAUGCAUGCUAUUUGUUUAUUGUCAAACUUUUCUUAUUGUUUAAAGUCUGUGGUCAAAUUGAGAAUAGAUUAAAUAUUUUUUGUCUUUAUUAAUAUUUGUCUAAAGUGUAGUUUUGUUCACUAAUUCUACGGGCUAUGUCAGCAACCUUCGUUCUUCUACUGAUUCGUUCUUUGGCGAAAUCUGUGAUUAUAGAAGUAUAAUAAAUAGUCUUUCACAAUAGAAUCAUAAUAAUGUAUAAACUAUAAUUUCAAUUAAUUAUAGUCGAAUUUCGACUACCGGGGAACCGCUAGUACAUAUUAUCACAGGAGAACAAGAACAUGUUGCAGUUAAUUCUCUAGUUUUGUAUCGGACACACACACAUGUUACACCCACACCCACACACGCACACACAUGGACACCGACACUGCUGACAGCUAAAUCGCUACACGCUGCUAAGAGCUCAACUCAAAUCUAAUGAAAUAUGCGUAUUGGUAGACAAAACAAUCAAGAGGAUAGCUCUCCCUCUCCAAGUGCAACGCAAUAUUGAUUAAAGAACAAUCAAAUAUUUUUAAUAGUUUUCAAAAUGUAUAAUGACGAGUUUUCUUAUAACAGACCACAAGCAUAGAGUGGUCAGAGCGAUACAGGAACACAUAUUAAAGUACAGAAUACAACUUUUAAACGAUGAUGACAUUUUUAUGAGCCAAAAGACGUCGACUGUUGGACACACGUCUCACUGUUGUCCGAGGACCCUGUGAGGUCGCAGGAGAAUGCUGGGUGAAGGCGGAACUGUUACUUGUAAGUUUAUCAAUGUGACUUGUGAUUUCAAACAAUGCGACCGCUAACUGCUUCAACGAGCACUCAGUGAAAGUGGUACAGGCCUCAGUGAGCUGCACAAAAACUAACGCAGAGCAUUAACAAUACUAAUACACUUUUUGCGUUUAUAGUAAAGACUCUUUUGCCUUGCACAAUCUCUUUGAUCCGAGACGUACGUGCGCCUUACGUGUAAGAGUUAAGAUUGAUUUCCGUAGCACAUUGUGGAAUGUGAUGUGUGCGUACCACAUAACUCUGCCGUAAGCAUCUGACAGCUCGUUGUAAGGUGAAUGUUCUCUAGAGACGCCAUGUGCUCUAGGGCUAGUACUGAGCUGGUAGCAAAUUAACUACGAAUACGUCCCAGCUUCGAGGAGAAGAGUCAUUGUUGUCCUCAUACCUCAAGCUUGACAAUGGCAUUGACGUCGUGAUGUACACGGGCGCCAGUAACUAUCUAUCAACAGAGCUGUGUGAGCUGCUCUACCUAUGUAAGCUAAUAAACUAGUAAAUUAGGUCGUAGUUUGUAAUCCAAUCUCCAGCUGAAAGAUACUGAAGACCUGUAAACUUACAUCUGCACCUGUACCAUCUAUCGCUAUGCUCUGUCUUUCGGAGACAAUUAGACCACAACGUAUGUAAUAACUAAUAAAGUAUUUAUUCCAUAGCAGCAUAGUGGAGUUGCUAUGAGGUCGACACUGUUCGUGGUGCAAAUGAACUGCUAUAUAAUUACGUUAGUUCAGAUGCUCCCUUGCGUCGUUUGCUCAGAUACACAAUGCGCAGAGACAGUCUUAUUGCAAUGUCAUUAUAAAUCUGAUGAGGUUAAUAGUAAUAGUACCAUUAUUAGUUAGUUGCGAGACAACGAAUCUGCUAAAAUACAUAAUCUUAAUCCAAUUAUGUGGCAACCCUGGCGGAUCUGAUAUGCAGCCCCCCUAGAAACUUCACUCUCUCGCUCGGACGUGAUCCGCAACGCACUUUCUACGAACUGCUUGUGUCAUAACUCUCAUUAGCGACUUAUUGAUAGAAACUACAGCGGAGAUCUACAAGAGCGCUACCGAUGUAAUAUCUCCGUUUUAUGAAUAAUAUCGUCCACAGUCGUGUCGCUACUCACAUACGUUCGACCAAAACCAAGGAACGAACACCCCCCGUCGAAUGCGCCGCUGAGGGUGAGACAGCCACGCAACACAGAUGUGACCUCAGCAAUCUACCUGCACGUAAUGAUCUCUGUAGCGACUGAACUGUUCCACGCGCGGGGCGUGGUGCCAGUUUACAGGAUUUAAUAAUAUGAUGUUACCAUACGUAACCAAAUUAUAACAAUCCCCCAACCUCUCUCUUCACUAUAAAUAAUAGAGAUUUCCAUCCAAUCUAAUCCCAUAAAACUGUGAAAAGUGGAAAAUUAUAUUAAUUGUAUCUGCACAAGCUGUUUAUAGUGCGAAUAGUUAUUUCAACAAGUAAUUAGUGCAACAUCUAUCGUUGACACACAUUGUGGAAGCAAAACCAAAGAUUACGGUAUCACAACUUACAGAAGAUGCAAAAAUAACUUCAAAUAAUUGUAUUAACUAAAUAAAACUGUAUUAAUUAAAAGUAAAAACAUUUUUUUAACGAAUCGUGGCAAGAACUAAGAUCGGAACUUCUCUGAAGCAUAUAAUUUGACUGAUAACUAAAGACAUCGACUCAUUAUAAAUUUCAGAGAGUCGGCAACCUGAAGUGGUAGUGGCCUGGAUAUAUGUAUAAGCCGUAUAAGCGACGCUCGCUGGAGCAAACAGGUUCUCGAGUGGAGAACACUCAGCAGCAAACGUAUCAUGGGACGCCACCCAGUUAAGUGGUGCGAUAAUCUUCACGCGGUGGCCGGCAAAAGAUGGACGAGGAGAGCCCAAGACCGGACUCAGCGAUGUGGGUUCGGAGAGACCAGGCUGAUGAUCCGAUGCGAAACACAAUAAACGCAUUUAUAAUAUAAUCGCUAUCACCGAGACCCCGCCCGUCUUGUCCGUCCAUGAAUAUUCAAAUAUAGGAGAGGAAUUUAGAAAUAGAAAAAGAGUAUUUUGAAUGUGUAAUUUGUGUGCAAUGCAUCAUUGAUGUUUCAAAAUGUUGUUGCUUGAUGGCCUGGGUCUACUCAUGAUACAACUAUAAUUAACCAUUCCGAUUGAAAAGAUGCAUUGGUGUUUGUAAAAGAAGACUCCCUGUAUAUCAUUGAAAAGUAGAUUAAAACUAGAAAAUAUGCAAGCUGUUAUUAUAGCUGCCAUGCUGCAUAAUAUCGUCAGAAGUAUGAAUUUAGAAGAAUUAGAAUCAGAAAUUUCAGUCGCAGAUACAUUACAGGAAAAUAAUAUAAUUGUUCGUAACAAUUUUUCAAAACUUACAUCUGAAAUACAACUAUGUACUUAUAAAUAAUUGCUUCCAAAGAUAAUUUAUAAAAUAAACUCCAAAGAUAA
Molecule: long non-coding RNA, 4550 nt
Organism: Bombyx mori (domestic silkworm)
Lineage: Eukaryota; Metazoa; Arthropoda; Insecta; Lepidoptera; Bombycidae
Exons: 4
Source: RefSeq, a predicted model, not a curated record